This 250-nucleotide ribosomal RNA is filed under the name uncultured bacterium. RNAcentral describes it as "partial 16S ribosomal RNA". It matches the Rfam family "Bacterial small subunit ribosomal RNA", at positions 524 to 773 of the family's 1533-position model. The record is from RNAcentral.
UACAGAGGUCUCAAGCGUUGUUCGGAAUCACUGGGCGUAAAGGGUGCGUAGGCGGCUUGAUAAGUCAAAUGUGAAACACUGGGGCUCAACCUCAGAAUUGCAUAUGAUACUGUCGGGCUAGAGGGCUGAAGAGGAAUUUUGAAUUCACGGUGUAGCAGUGAAAUGCGUAGAUAUCGUGAGGAACACCAAAGGCGAAAGCAAAAUUCUUGGCAGCUCCUGACGCUCAGGCACGAAGGCUAGGGGAGCAAAC